CUGCCCGGUGCUCGAAGGUUAAUUGAUGGGGUUAGCAUUAGCGAAGCUCUUGAUCGAAGCCCGAGUAAACGGCGGCCGUAACUAUAACGGUCCUAAGGUAGCGAAAUUCCUUGUCGGUUAAAUACCGACCUGCAUGAAUGGCGUAACGAGAUGGGAGCUGUCUCAAAGAGGGAUCCAGUGAAAUUGUAGUGGAGGUGAAAAUUCCUCCUACCCGCGGCAAGACGGAAAGACCCCGUGGACCUUUACUACAGCUUGACACUGCUACUUGGAUAAGAAUGUGCAGGAUAGGUGGGAGGCUUUGAGUAUAUGACGCCAGUUGUAUAUGAGCCAUUGUUGAGAUACCACUCUUUCUUAUUUGGGUAGCUAACCAGCUUGAGUUAUCCUCAAGUGGGACAAUGUCUGGUGGGUAGUUUGACUGGGGCGGUCGCCUCCCAAAUAAUAACGGAGGCUUACAAAGGUUGGC
RNAcentral lists this ribosomal RNA (463 nucleotides) under Campylobacter coli. RNAcentral's name for it is "bacterial LSU rRNA". It matches the Rfam family "Bacterial large subunit ribosomal RNA", at positions 1859 to 2321 of the family's 2925-position model. The record is from RNAcentral. Lineage: Bacteria; Pseudomonadati; Campylobacterota; Epsilonproteobacteria; Campylobacterales; Campylobacteraceae.